This is a long non-coding RNA of Pseudophryne corroboree (corroboree frog), 600 nucleotides long. RefSeq lists it as uncharacterized. Lineage: Eukaryota; Metazoa; Chordata; Amphibia; Anura; Myobatrachidae. The record is from RefSeq and is a predicted model, not a curated record. The transcript is spliced from 3 exons.
GGAGAUCGCGCCAGGAGCCGCCGCUGUGAUGUCUUGCCGGCGGUGAUGUUCGGGUGAGCGGCGGUACACGGCUGGAUCCAUCGGAGGUGACACCAUGGCGCCAUGGCAACACUGACGCCAACGGCAGAAAUAGCUUACCCUUCCCUCUAGAGGCAGAGCAGAAGCAGAGGCCCAAUAAGCAGUAGAGGGGCGGAGCCUGCCUGACAGUUGCUGAUCAGAGGAGGAGUCGGGGGAGCACUCAGAGCAGUACCGUUGUGCUGUGGAUAUUUUCUUGGCUGCUGAGAGUGAUGUGAAGCACUGGGUUGUCUCCAGAUGAUUAGUAGCUGCAAACAAUUAAAUGAUCAAAAGAUAAAGCAGGGAAGUCUUUAUAAGAUGUUGUAAAAACAAAAGACUGAGAUUACAUUGCUUUAAGGUAAUCUCAACAAUUAAACUGAACAGUGUCUAAAUUGCAAUAAUAAACGGUGUCUUUAACAGUGUCAAUCCAUUACCAACAAGUGGGAAUCAUUGUUUUACAACUCUCUUCUUUCUUAUUCCUUUUUUACCAUCUUCAGCCUAAAUGCACACCGGUUUUAUAGGACUGACUAUCUAUCUAUCUAUCUA